Molecule: ribosomal RNA, 497 nt
Filed under: uncultured bacterium
Lineage: Bacteria
Description: partial 16S ribosomal RNA
Rfam family: Bacterial small subunit ribosomal RNA
Source: RNAcentral
GAUGAACGCUGGCGGCGUGCCUAAUACAUGCAAGUCGAGCGAACAGACGAGGAGCUUGCUCCUCUGACGUUAGCGGCGGACGGGUGAGUAACACGUGGAUAACCUACCUAUAAGACUGGGAUAACUUCGGGAAACCGGAGCUAAUACCGGAUAAUAUAUUGAACCGCAUGGUUCAAUAGUGAAAGACGGUUUUGCUGUCACUUAUAGAUGGAUCCGCGCCGCAUUAGCUAGUUGGUAAGGGAACGGCUUACCAAGGCGACGAUGCGUAGCCGACCUGAGAGGGUGAUCGGCCACACUGGAACUGAGACACGGUCCAGACUCCUACGGGAGGCAGCAGUAGGGAAUCUUCCGCAAUGGGCGCAAGCCUGACGGAGCAACGCCGCGUGAGUGAUGAAGGUCUUCGGAUCGUAAAACUCUGUUAUUAGGGAAGAACAAAUGUGUAAGUAACUAUGCACGUCUUGACGGUACCUAAUCAGAAAGCCACGGCUAACUACGUG